This is a non-coding RNA of Extremus antarcticus, 146 nucleotides long. NCBI's taxonomy places the organism in Eukaryota, Fungi, Ascomycota, Dothideomycetes, Mycosphaerellales, Extremaceae. The record is from the annotation of a GenBank genome assembly.
UCCGAUAUGGUCUAGUGGCUAGGAUUUCUCGCUUUCAUGUCCUUCGUGACCCAAGAGCCGAGGAGGCCGGGGUUCGAUGUAAGCAUUUGACGACGGUCCUUCCUACCAUUGCUCAAAGCUAAUGAAAUUCAGUCCCCGUAUCGGAA